This is a long non-coding RNA of Thunnus maccoyii (southern bluefin tuna), 343 nucleotides long. RefSeq lists it as uncharacterized. The transcript is spliced from 3 exons. The record is from RefSeq and is a predicted model, not a curated record. NCBI's taxonomy places the organism in Eukaryota, Metazoa, Chordata, Actinopteri, Scombriformes, Scombridae.
AAAUCCGUAAAUAAUUUUAAGAAACUCGAAGGCACACGAGAUAUUAGAAGAUAGUAGCUAACACGAAGCGAGAAAAACAUGGGUUGGGGAACUUAUAGACCAUGCGUAAAAUCAAUCCAGCCCAAAAGAUGUGAAGAGCUUGCAGCACCAUUAGCAGCACAUUGAAAAAGUAGUAGCCCGCAAAGGGUUCAAAGACCUCCAUGGACAGCACAAGGGUGGUGUGGAUGAUUCUGCACAUCAACAAAGAAUUGUUUAGAUCCGGAGCAGCAGAGAGCCAUAAAAACCCAGCUCCAGCAUGUAGUACCAGUAAUGAGCUCGCUCCAUGGGCUGAGGGAGAAAACGU